AACGCAAAUUGCGCCUUUCUCGGAAGGCAUGUCUGUUUGAGGGCACCAUUUAACAAAUAAUGUGCGUGUUGCGUUUUGCGCGGCGUGCACACGUUGAUGAGCUUUCCAAAGAAAAUGAAAAUUUUUUUGGUGGCGCAUAAUAAACAGCGUGAGGCUUUUCUUAAUUCGAGUGUAGUAAAAACAACGCUUGGCUUGUGAGGAGCACAUUGCGCAAUGGGUGUGGCGGUACCCAGCCCCAACGCCACUCUUUCUCACGAAAGAAAGUUAAUCAUCAGGGCCUCAAAUCAGACAAGAGUACCCGCUGAACUUAA
RNAcentral lists this unclassified non-coding RNA (311 nucleotides) under uncultured Paraglomerales. Its description in RNAcentral is "sequence contains 5.8S rRNA gene, ITS2, 28S rRNA gene". Lineage: Eukaryota; Fungi; Glomeromycota; Glomeromycetes; Paraglomerales. The record is from RNAcentral.